This is a long non-coding RNA of Hippocampus comes (tiger tail seahorse), 331 nucleotides long. RefSeq lists it as uncharacterized. The transcript is spliced from 3 exons. NCBI's taxonomy places the organism in Eukaryota, Metazoa, Chordata, Actinopteri, Syngnathiformes, Syngnathidae. The record is from RefSeq and is a predicted model, not a curated record.
UUUUGAAACUAUGUUUCCUAUGUAUCUCACCCUGCCUCUCAGCUGUGUGUGAGCUGCCGUGCGCUAACGGCGGUCGCUGUGUGGCUCCCGAUACCUGCCAAUGUCCCUCAGACUACACAGGUUCCCAGUGCCUUUUGCCCUUGUGCACACCCGCCUGCCAAAAUGGUGGCCGAUGUGUUGACGUCAAUAAGUGCACGUGUGUUGGCGGUUGGCAAGGAGCUCGUUGCCAGAUAGAGCCCGUUCAGUGUCAGAAGCCCUGUAAAAACGGCGGCGUGUGCGAAGGCCUCAACAGGUGUCGCUGCGCCAAAGGAUUCACCGGAAGUCUCUGUGA